AAAGUCAGUCGGACAGUCGCGCUUUUUAUAAGUGAGGAAAGUCCGGGCUUUAUAGAGCAAGAUGCCAGAUAACGUCUGGGGGGCGUGAGCCUACGGAAAGUGCAACAGAAAGUAUACCGCCUUUGUUUAAAAGGUAAGGGUGAAAAGGUGCGGUAAGAGCGCACCGCAUUGGUGGCAACACUCAAUGGCAUUGUAAACCCCAUCUAAAGCAAGACCAAAUAGCGCUACUAAGAUGUUGCUCGCAUUGUAGCAGGGUAGGUCGCUUGAGCUUGUUGGCAACAGCAAGUCUAGAUAAAUGACUGUCUAUUACAGAACCCGGCUUAUAGACUGACUUUGUAU
Molecule: RNase P RNA, 339 nt
Filed under: Francisella marina
Lineage: Bacteria; Pseudomonadati; Pseudomonadota; Gammaproteobacteria; Thiotrichales; Francisellaceae
Also listed under: 1 other name
Description: RNase P RNA component class A
Rfam family: Bacterial RNase P class A
About the family: Ribonuclease P (RNase P) is a ubiquitous endoribonuclease, found in archaea, bacteria and eukarya as well as chloroplasts and mitochondria. Its best characterised activity is the generation of mature 5'-ends of tRNAs by cleaving the 5'-leader elements of precursor-tRNAs. Cellular RNase Ps are ribonucleoproteins.
Source: RNAcentral